RNAcentral lists this ribosomal RNA (505 nucleotides) under uncultured bacterium. RNAcentral's name for it is "partial 16S ribosomal RNA". It matches the Rfam family "Bacterial small subunit ribosomal RNA", at positions 28 to 507 of the family's 1533-position model. The record is from RNAcentral.
GACGAAUGCUGGCGGCGUGCCUAAUACAUGCAAGUAGAACGCACAGUUUAUACCGUAGCUUGCUACACCAUAAACUGUGAGUUGCGAACGGGUGAGUAACGCGUAGGUAACCUGCCUGGUAGCGGGGGAUAACUAUUGGAAACGAUAGCUAAUACCGCAUAAUAUUGAUUAUUGCAUGAUAAUUGAUUGAAAGAUGCUAUUGCAUCACUACCAGAUGGACCUGCGUUGUAUUAGCUAGUAGGUGAGGUAACGGCUCACCUAGGCGACGAUACAUAGCCGACCUGAGAGGGUGAUCGGCCACACUGGGACUGAGACACGGCCCAGACUCCUACGGGAGGCAGCAGUAGGGAAUCUUCGGCAAUGGACGAAAGUCUGACCGAGCAACGCCGCGUGAGUGAAGAAGGUUUUCGGAUCGUAAAGCUCUGUUGUAAGAGAAGAACGGGUGUGAGAGUGGAAAGUUCACACUGUGACGGUAUCUUACCAGAAAGGGACGGCUAACUACGUG